UGCAAGUCGAGCGGUAAGGCCCUUCGGGGUACACGAGCGGCGAACGGGUGAGUAACACGUGGGUGACCUGCCCUCAGCUCUGGGAUAAGCCUGGGAAACUGGGUCUAAUACCGGAUAUGACUACUGGCCGCAUGGUUGGUGGUGGAAAGUUUUUCGGCUGGGGAUGGGCCCGCGGCCUAUCAGCUUGUUGGUGGGGUGAUGGCCUACCAAGGCGACGACGGGUAGCCGGCCUGAGAGGGCGACCGGCCACACUGGGACUGAGACACGGCCCAGACUCCUACGGGAGGCAGCAGUGGGGAAUAUUGCGCAAUGGGCGGAAGCCUGACGCAGCGACGCCGCGUGGGGGAUGACGGCCUUCGGGUUGUAAACCUCUUUCGACAGGGACGAAGAGCAAUUGACGGUACCUGUAGAAGAAGCACCGGCCAACUACGUGCCAGCAGCCGCGGUAAUACGUAGGGUGCGAGCGUUGUCCGGAAUUAUUGGGCGUAAAGAGCUCGUAGGCGGUGUGUCACGUCGAUCGUGAAAACUUUCAGCUUAACUGGGAGCUUGCGGUCGAUACGGGCAUCACUGGAGUUCGGCAGGGGAGACUGGAAUUCAAGGUGUAGCGGUGAAAUGCGCAGAUAUCUUGAGGAACACCGGUGGCGAAGGCGGGUCUCUGGGCCGAUACUGACGCUGAGGAGCGAAAGCGUGGGGAGCGAACAGGAUUAGAUACCCUGGUAGUCCACGCCGU
Molecule: ribosomal RNA, 730 nt
Filed under: Pseudonocardia sp. YIM 65613
Lineage: Bacteria; Bacillati; Actinomycetota; Actinomycetes; Pseudonocardiales; Pseudonocardiaceae
Description: bacterial SSU rRNA
Rfam family: Bacterial small subunit ribosomal RNA
Source: RNAcentral